GCCGCGGCCGCUUCCUUCUCCUCCCCUUCCCCGAGCGUCUGCUGUUGCCGGGUAACGUGCCCCAGCGGGCGACAGAGGCUGCGGCCGCGGGCAGAGUAUUCAGACAUACAGUAUUGCCAUUUUACUGCUAUUCGUUAAUGUCUGGAUGGUUGCAAAGAUGGUGACUGCAGAUGACAGCCAGUGGGAUGAAACCAUCUGUGACAUGGCUGUUUGCCAACACCCACAGUGCUGGGACACUAUAAGGAGGAUUGAACAGGGACAUCCUCGGGUCCGUUUAAGAAACUUUGACUCACUCUGCAGGGCUUCUUCUUCGGAAAGCAAAGAUGAAUUACCAACACUGAAGAUUAUAAACUUCCCCAGCAAUUGCUCUCCCCGAGGAAGGAUCAGAUGUUCCAAUUGUAACAGAACUAUUUCCACCUUCACUGCACUUGAGACCUCUUUCUCUCCUUCUUCUCUGUAUGAAACUUCAGACUAUGACUUCUCUGACCGAAAUUCUGAAGUCAGGUGAAUUGCUGCUGAGUUCCAAUCUUUGGAUGACUUUUGAAGGUUGUCAGUAUUCCCAGGACUAAGAGUCUGUAGCAGAAUGAUGGCAUCCUUGUUUUUCUGACAGAGGCUGAGAAGAAUAUUAGUGUUUUAGAGAUUGCAAUUGCCAUGGGGCAUGGAGCAUGUCACCUUCUGCAUUUUAUACAUUGCAGAGCAAACUGUUAGCACUUAUGGCCCCCAUUCUGCAAAUAAUUACACAUAUGCUGAACUUUACUCAUGUGAGUGGACCCACUGAUUUCAAUGUUAAGCACAUGCAUUAGUUUGUACGAUCAGGGCUUAAGAAAUAAAUGUAUUUAAAAGACCAGAUUGCUCUUCUAGAAUAUAGGAUACAUUGUUAUUAAAUAUUCAUAUUGUUCAUAUCAGUGCCAGGUCCCCCUUGUGCGAGGCACUGCACAAAUCCACAGAAAGACAGUCCCUACCACAAAGAACUUACAAUGUAGAUCAAAAAACCCAAAACAAAUUAAAAGGUAUGGAAAAGGGAUACACAUACAAUCCAAGCCCUUGAUCUGUACAUGCUAAACUUUAUGUACUGAGAGUAGUUCCCAUUGACUUCAGUGGGACUACUUGACUGUGUAAAGUCAAGCAUCUGGGUAACUACUCACAGGACCAAUGCCCAAGACCCGGUUCUGUCACCUUUCCUCAUGGUGAGUAGUACCUUACUCCACCAUGAGUAGCAGUGGAGUAAGGUAUCACUUUACACCCAUUUCUGCCAUCUCUGUUCAUGUUAAGUGAUUGUGGGCAUGUGUCUCGUUAGUUCCAUGUUGUGUCUAUAACAUGAUGCCCCUUGGUAAGUUGUUAGUAGCAAGGUCAAACCUCUUGAUCUAAAAGUCUGAGUCUCUGAUGUGAGAGCUAAAGAGCCAGCUUUGCUAGCUCAAAGCCAGUGGCAAACUCCUAAAUCUCUAUGAGUGACCCAGCCACUCGAGGGGAAUGGAGCUAUUCUGUGUAAGUGUGGGUUACCUGCUGUUCAUGAUCUGUUAGCAGUAUUUUUUAAAAAAAAUACAAUAAAGCCUCAUCCUUGCCCCUA
Molecule: long non-coding RNA, 1567 nt
Organism: Emys orbicularis (European pond turtle)
Lineage: Eukaryota; Metazoa; Chordata; Testudines; Emydidae
Exons: 3
Source: RefSeq, a predicted model, not a curated record